Molecule: ribosomal RNA, 374 nt
Filed under: uncultured organism
Description: bacterial SSU rRNA
Rfam family: Bacterial small subunit ribosomal RNA
Source: RNAcentral
CGUAGGGUGCGAGCGUUAAUCGGAAUUACUGGGCGUAAAGCGUGCGCAGGCGGUUUAGUAAGACAGGCGUGAAAUCCCCGGGCUCAACCUGGGAACUGCGCUUGUGACUGCUAAGCUAGAGUACGGCAGAGGGGGGUGGAAUUCCACGUGUAGCAGUGAAAUGCGUAGAGAUGUGGAGGAACACCAAUGGCGAAGGCAGCCCCCCUAGGUCGAUACUGACGCUCAUGCACGAAAGCGUGGGUAGCAAACAGGAUUAGGAUACCCUGGUAGUCCACGCCCUAAACGAUGUCAACUAGGUGUUGGGAGGGUAAAACCUUUUAGUACCGGAGCUAACGCGUGAAGUUGACCGCCUGGGGAGUACGGCCGCAAGGUUA